AUACGAGGGGUGCAAGCGUUGUUCGGAAUUACUGGGCGUAAAGGGAGCGUAGGCGGAGAUUCAAGCGGAUUGUACAAUCCCGGGGCCCAACCCCGGCUCUGCAGUCCGAACUGGAUCUCUUGGAUAGUUCAGGGGCAGGCGGAAUUCCUGGUGUAGCGGUGGAAUGCGUAGAGAUCAGGAAGAACACCGAUGGCGAAGGCAGCCUGCUGAGGACUUAUCGACGCUGAGGCUCGAAAGUGCGGGGAGCAAACAGGAUUAGAUACCCUGGUAGUCCGCAGCGUAAACGAUGCAUACUGGGUGUCCGGGGGUUCCCCCGGGUACCGUAGCCAACGCGUUAAGUAUGCCGCCUGGGGAGUACGGACGCAAGUAUGAAACUCAAAGGAAUUGACGGGG
Molecule: ribosomal RNA, 393 nt
Filed under: uncultured bacterium
Lineage: Bacteria
Description: partial 16S ribosomal RNA
Rfam family: Bacterial small subunit ribosomal RNA
Source: RNAcentral